This 492-nucleotide ribosomal RNA is filed under the name uncultured bacterium. Its description in RNAcentral is "partial 16S ribosomal RNA". It matches the Rfam family "Bacterial small subunit ribosomal RNA", at positions 29 to 507 of the family's 1533-position model. The record is from RNAcentral.
AGUGAACGCUGGCGGUAGGCCUAACACAUGCAAGUCGAACGGCCGCACAGUAAGAGCUUGCUCUUACGGGUGGCGAGUGGCGGACGGGUGAGAAAUACAUCGGAAUCUACUUUUUCGUGGGGGAUAACGGAGGGAAACUUACGCUAAUACCGCAUACGACCUACGGGUGAAAGCAGGAGAUCUUCGGGCCUUGCGCGAUUGAAUGAGCCGAUGUCGGAUUAGCUAGUUGGCGGGGUAAAGGCCCACCAAGGCGACGAUCCGUAGCUGGUCUGAGAGGAUGAUCAGCCACACUGGAACUGAGACACGGUCCAGACUCCUACGGGAGGCAGCAGUGGGGAAUAUUGGACAAUGGGCGAAAGCCUGACCCAGCCAUACCGCGUGAGUGAAGAAGGCCUUCGGGUUGUAAAGCCCUUUUGUUGGGAAAGAAAAGCAGCAUGUUAAUCCCCCGCUGUUCUGACGGUACCCAAAGAAUAAGCACCGGCUAACUUCGUG